CGGGACACGUGGUAUCCUGUCUGAAUAUGGGGGGACCAUCCUCCAAGGCUAAAUACUCCUGACUGACCGAUAGUGAACCAGUACCGUGAGGGAAAGGCGAAAAGAACCCCGGCGAGGGGAGUGAAAAAGAACCUGAAACCGUGUACGUACAAGCAGUGGGAGCCUCUUAAUGGGGUGACUGCGUACCUUUUGUAUAAUGGGUCAGCGACUUAUAUUCUGUAGCAAGGUUAACCGAAUAGGGGAGCCGAAGGGAAACCGAGUCUUAACUGGGCGUUAAGUUGCAGGGUAUAGACCCGAAACCCGGUGAUCUAGCCAUGGGCAGGUUGAAGGUUGGGUAACACUAACUGGAGGACCGAACCGACUAAUGUUGAAAAAUUAGCGGAUGACUUGUGGCUGGGGGUGAAAGGCCAAUCAAACCGGGAGAUAGCUGGUUCUCCCCGAAAGCUAUUUAGGUAGCGCCUCGUGAAUUCAUCUCCGGGGGUAGAGCACUGUUUCGGCAAGGGGGUCAUCCCGACUUACCAACCCGAUGCAAACUGCGAAUACCGGAGAAUGUUAUCACGGGAGACACACGGCGGGUGCUAACGUCCGUCGUGAAGAGGGAAACAACCCAGACCGCCAGCUAAGGUCCCAAAGUCAUGGUUAAGUGGGAAACGAUGUGGGAAGGCCCAGACAGCCAGGAUGUUGGCUUAGAAGCAGCCAUCAUUUAAAGAAAGCGUAAUAGCUCACUGGUCGAGUCGGCCUGCGCGGAAGAUGUAACGGGGCUAAACCAUGCACCGAAGCUGCGGCAGCGACGCUUAUGCGUUGUUGGGUAGGGGAGCGUUCUGUAAGCCUGUGAAGGUGUGCUGUGAGGCAUGCUGGAGGUAUCAGAAGUGCGAAUGCUGACAUA
RNAcentral lists this ribosomal RNA (886 nucleotides) under Escherichia coli. RNAcentral describes it as "partial 23S ribosomal RNA". It matches the Rfam family "Bacterial large subunit ribosomal RNA", at positions 418 to 1304 of the family's 2925-position model. Lineage: Bacteria; Pseudomonadati; Pseudomonadota; Gammaproteobacteria; Enterobacterales; Enterobacteriaceae. The record is from RNAcentral.